Cyanistes caeruleus (blue tit) is the source of this 1815-nucleotide long non-coding RNA. Lineage: Eukaryota; Metazoa; Chordata; Aves; Passeriformes; Paridae. The record is from Ensembl.
UAUAUUUUAUCCCUAGUGGGGUUUAUUUUGAUUUGGUUUGUUGUUUUUUUUUUUUUUUUUCAGGGAAUCAGAGACUGCUUUGGGUGGAAGGGACCUUUGAGAUCAUCUUGUCCCAACCCCCUGCCAUGGGCAGGGACACCUUCCACUAUCCCAGGUUGCUCAGAGCUCCCCCCCAACCUGACCUGGAACACUUCCAUGGAUGGGAAGGAAUUUUCUUUCAUCCUUCUUCCUUUAGGAGCACAUGGCCUUGCCUAAACUCUGUUCAGAUGAGCUCCAGCCCCUGAAGUCAGCAGGAGCAGCAGAGAUCUCACCAGGGAGAAGGUCCAAGGAAACACAAGCUGCAGGAGCUGGAGCUCUCUUUGUGCACAAAACCUUCCAGCACACCUCUCCCACCUCUCCAGGUGCAUCCUUGUCAGGAAAACUUCAUUUUUUUUUGUGACACCCGGAAGAAAUACAACACGAAGAAGGGAUUACACCGGGAAAGUGGAAGGUGUAGAUGUGGAAUUGGUUUGAGGGGACUGUCUGUGAGACUGACCUGUCUGUGAGGUCUCUUUUUGGCCUCUGAAGACUAAAAGGGAUGGGUUUUUUUCCAGCAUUCCCUGACAGAUGUUUAACAUUCACACAAAUACAAGCUCCAACCCACUACUCCCAGCAGCCACCAGCGUGUGAUGGAGAUAAGAGAUGAGCUGAGGUUCACAGCUCACUUGCAGAAUGACUCAUCCCUUUAAUUGCAUCCCUUUAAUUACAAAUUAGCCUCCUUGACCUUUUCUUCCUGCUCUUUCCUGAGUGUCACGGCACAGUGUGAUCUCUGUGCUGCCAGGAACAGAAGGAGGCAAUGUCUCUUGGUGGAAGGGUUUUUUCAGCUGAGGCCACACUCUCACCUCCCUUAAUCCUACGAGUUGUGUCAAAAAAAAGUUCCUCUUCUUCCUGAAAAGGUCUUUGUGACUUAGAGAUGAAAAUCACAAAGUCACCACCUAAAACGGCAGAAGGAACAAAAAUAGUCUGGCAAAUGAAGAAAUUUGGGCAAAAAAUCCUCAAAGAUUAGGUCUUGAAGACCUAAAAUUGUCAUUCCUGGACUUAUUUGCUGUAGGUUUUCCCUUUUUCGAGGUCCUUGAAACUGUUGGAAUCAGUGAUGUAACUGUUGGAAUCAGUGAUGUUACUCUGACACAGAACUAAAAAAAAAUAUAAGGCUUAUUCAACAAGAAUAUUCUAGCAGAAAUGCUUCUUGGCAAGAGCAGACAUGGAAUACCACCAGGAAACCUCCAGAAAAGCAUGGGAGAACCACUCAAAAAAUGGCAAUUCCUUGGCAGAAGUGGAUUUGGGAAGUGGAGUUCAUCUGUGAAUUUCCUUUCCGACAUCAAAGUCUUUGGGAACAGGAGUUUCUAAAAAGGAGAAAACACCGUUUGAAACUCUUUGCCUUUAUUCAUCAGUGAAUUCUUGAAAUGUUCUCCCCUGCGAAAAUGUUUGGAAUAACACCAGAUUCGCCCACUCUGUGCUGACAUUUAACUCAUCCCAUUAUGUGUAUUACGCCACCACUGCAGCGUUAUCCAGGAUAUAAUGUAAGGAACAUAUACACAGAUUUAGAAAAAUACAGAGCCUUAUAGAUUUAUUUAUAACAGUUCAUAUAUUUAUAAUUAACUUCAUUGUGAGGAGAGUUCUGCACGAAGUAGGGCAACAAUGGACUCCUCAGUUAUAUAAAAGGGCCUUGAAAAGCUCUUCCCUCCUCAGAGAAAAGUUUCCUGAGCUGCUCAGGGAAAGCUGCAUUCUUUAAAAAAAAAAAAUAAAGGCUGAAAGUGGAAAUUUUUUGAUUAUAAC